Molecule: ribosomal RNA, 379 nt
Filed under: uncultured bacterium
Lineage: Bacteria
Description: bacterial SSU rRNA
Rfam family: Bacterial small subunit ribosomal RNA
Source: RNAcentral
GUAGUCCACGCUGUAAACGAUGAAGACUAGAUGUUGUGUGGCUAGGCCCAUACAGUAUCGAAGCUAACGCGAUAAGUCUUCCGCCUGGGGAGUACGACCGCAAGGUUAAAACUCAAAGGAAUUGACGGGGGCCCGCACAAGCGGUGGAGCAUGUGGUUUAAUUCGAUGCAACGCGAAGAACCUUACCUACCCUUGACAUCCUACGAAGACUGCAGAGAUGCGGUUGUGCCGAAAGGAACGUAGAGACAGGUGCUGCAUGGCUGUCGUCAGCUCGUGUUGUGAGAUGUUGGGUUAAGUCCCGUAACGAGCGCAACCCUUAUCCUUAGUUACCAGCACGUAGUGGUGGGGACUCUAAGGAGACUGCUGGUGAAGAACCGGA